This 823-nucleotide long non-coding RNA is filed under the name Oryza sativa aromatic subgroup. RNAcentral describes it as "lncRNA OsARC_10g0008930". The record is from RNAcentral. Lineage: Eukaryota; Viridiplantae; Streptophyta; Magnoliopsida; Poales; Poaceae.
CGGGACCGACCUUGUUCGCCGCCGGCGCCUUCUCGCGCGGCGGAAUCAGGCCGCCGCGCUAGGCUUGGCGAGUGUGCGUCGCCCGUCGGCGGCUUCCGCCCGCCCGGACUACCGCAUCCUUCUGCCCUCUCCUGGGACGACGAGUCUCUCUUCCUGUUCCGGUGUCCCGGCGUGUUCCGGGCCUUCGACCCGGUGGGUGGGUCAGCGUGCAGGCCGCGCCUCUCCCCUGGAGCAGCAGAGCUUGACAUGGAUGGGAACAUGACUUCUUGGAAUGGCAAUGACAGAUGGAAUUACUUCUUAAGGGCUUCCAGAAACAAUUCAAUGCUCUGGAGAAUAAAAAGUAUUUUCGUUCUAUGAUCUCUUUGGUUGUGGCUAUUUUUGGAGAAUGAGCUACAGCUGGUGGACUUCUUUCAAAGGUGCCACAUACGAAGAGGAAGUCAGGAAGGAACAAAGUUUACUUCAUGCCCCUUAUUUGGUAAACAGAGCCUCUCAGUUGGUUUCAUCCUACUGCAUACCAGUGCGAGUCUUGUGACUGAACUCAUGACACAGUUGAUUUCUCCCAAUGUGUUCUCAAUUGAUAGCAGAUGGGGGUCAACAAUAUCGAUCAGUCUUGCUGGAUAUGCCAUUUCUGCAUACUUCUGCAAUGUCAAUCCAUCAGUAAACAUGUCAUUUGUAGGCGCCUUCCCUGUAAACAUCUCAAGGAGCACUAUACCAAAGCUAUAUACAUCACCAGAUGGAGAAAUUUGACCACAUUCAGCAUAUUCUGCAGUGCGUAAACGUGAUAAUUACCAUAAGAUUUAUUGGAAAAUAGUAUUGAGUACCU